GACGAACGCUGGCGGCGUGCCUAAUACAUGCAAGUCGAGCGGACAGAUGGGGACUUUCUUCCUCUCCCUCAACGGCCGGCGGGUUGGUAACCAGUUGGCAACCCUCCUGUAAGGCUGGGGUAACCCCCGGAAACCCGGACCAAAACCGGGUAACUAUUUCGCUCCCCAGGGGGCAAUCGUAAAGGUCGCAUUUGCUUAUCCCUAUCAAUUGAUCCGCGGCGCAUUAGCUAGUUGGUUAGGUAACGGCUUACCAAGGCGACGAUGCGUAGCCGACCUGAGAGGGUGAUCGGCCACACUGGAACUGAGACACGGUCCAGACUCCUACGGGAGGCAGCAGUAGGGAAUCUUCCGCAAUGGACGAAAGCCUGACGGAGCAACGCCGCGUGAGUGAUGAAGGUUUUCGGAUCGUAAAACUCUGUUAUUAGGGAAGAACAAGUAUGUAAGUAACUCUGCACGCCUUGACGGUACCUGAUCAGAAAGCCACGGCUAACUACGUG
This 497-nucleotide ribosomal RNA is filed under the name uncultured bacterium. Its description in RNAcentral is "partial 16S ribosomal RNA". It matches the Rfam family "Bacterial small subunit ribosomal RNA", at positions 28 to 507 of the family's 1533-position model. The record is from RNAcentral.